Molecule: long non-coding RNA, 84 nt
Organism: Etheostoma spectabile (orangethroat darter)
Lineage: Eukaryota; Metazoa; Chordata; Actinopteri; Perciformes; Percidae
Exons: 3
Source: RefSeq, a predicted model, not a curated record
ACAACUAAAAUCUGCCCAAUUUAACCAAAUUCCUGAAGACCUCUCUCCAUUUUCUAUCCUACUAGAUUUUUUGGAUGGCACAAG